GAUGAACGCUGGCGGCGUGCUUAACACAUGCAAGUCGAACGCUGAAGCCUGGUGCUUGCACUGGGUGGAUGAGUGGCGAACGGGUGAGUAACACGUGAGUAACCUGCCCUUGACUUCGGGAUAAGCCCGGGAAACUGGGUCUAAUACUGGAUAUGACCUCCUACUGCAUGGUGGGGGGUGGAAAGAUUUAUCGGUUGGGGAUGGACUCGCGGCCUAUCAGUUUGUUGGUGGGGUAAUGGCCUACCAAGACGACGACGGGUAGCCGGCCUGAGAGGGUGACCGGCCACACUGGGACUGAGACACGGCCCAGACUCCUACGGGAGGCAGCAGUGGGGAAUAUUGCACAAUGGGCGCAAGCCUGAUGCAGCGACGCCGCGUGAGGGAUGACGGCCUUCGGGUUGUAAACCUCUUUCAGUAGGGAAGCAGCCCCUCGGGGUGACGGUACCUGCAGAAGAAGCGCCGGCUAACUACGUGCCAGCAGCCGCGGUAAUACGUAGGGCGCAAGCGUUAUCCGGAAUUAUUGGGCGUAAAGAGCUCGUAGGCGGUUUGUCGCGCCUGCUGUGAAAGCCCGGGGCUUAACUCCGGGUGUGCAGUGGGUACGGGCAGGCUAGAGUGCAGUAGGGGAGACUGGAAUUCCUGGUGUAGCGGUGGAAUGCGCAGAUAUCAGGAGGAACACCGAUGGCGAAGGCAGGUCUCUGGGCUGUUACUGACGCUGAGGAGCGAAAGCAUGGGGAGCAAACAGGAUUAGAUACCCUGGUAGUCCAUGCCGUAAACGUUGGGCACUAGGUGUGGGGGACAUUCCACGUUUUCCGCGCCGUAGCUAACGCAUUAAGUGCCCCGCCUGGGGAGUACGGCCGCAGGGCUAAAACUCAAAGGAAUUGACGGGGGCCCGCACAAGCGGCGGAGCAUGCGGAUUAAUUCGAUGCAACGCGAAGAACCUUACCAAGGCUUGACAUGGACCGGAUCGGCGCAGAGAUGUGUUUUCCCUUCGGGGCUGGUUCACAGGUGGUGCAUGGUUGUCGUCAGCUCGUGUCGUGAGAUGUUGGGUUAAGUCCCGCAACGAGCGCAACCCUCGUUCUAUGUUGCCAGCACGUUAUGGUGGGGACUCAUGGGAGACUGCCGGGGUCAACUCGGAGGAAGGUGGGGAUGACGUCAAAUCAUCAUGCCCCUUAUGUCUUGGGCUUCACGCAUGCUACAAUGGCCGGUACAAUGGGUUGCGAUACUGUGAGGUGGAGCUAAUCCCAAAAAGCCGGUCUCAGUUCGGAUUGGGGUCUGCAACUCGACCCCAUGAAGUCGGAGUCGCUAGUAAUCGCAGAUCAGCAACGCUGCGGUGAAUACGUUCCCGGGCCU
This 1350-nucleotide ribosomal RNA is filed under the name uncultured bacterium. Its description in RNAcentral is "bacterial SSU rRNA". It matches the Rfam family "Bacterial small subunit ribosomal RNA", at positions 28 to 1381 of the family's 1533-position model. The record is from RNAcentral.